Molecule: ribosomal RNA, 200 nt
Filed under: uncultured bacterium
Lineage: Bacteria
Description: partial 16S ribosomal RNA
Rfam family: Bacterial small subunit ribosomal RNA
Source: RNAcentral
GAUGAACGCUGGCGGCGUGCUUAACACAUGCAAGUCGAACGGUGAAGCCCAGCUUGCUGGGUGGAUCAGUGGCGAACGGGUGAGUAACACGUGAGCAACCUGCCCCUGACUCUGGGAUAAGCGCUGGAAACGGCGUCUAAUACUGGAUACGAGCCGGAACCGCAUGGUUACUGGUUGGAAAGAUUUUUCGGUUGGGGAUG